This 464-nucleotide ribosomal RNA is filed under the name Vreelandella stevensii. RNAcentral describes it as "partial 16S ribosomal RNA". It matches the Rfam family "Bacterial small subunit ribosomal RNA", at positions 339 to 795 of the family's 1533-position model. Lineage: Bacteria; Pseudomonadati; Pseudomonadota; Gammaproteobacteria; Oceanospirillales; Halomonadaceae. The record is from RNAcentral.
CUACGGGUGGCUGCAGUGGGGAAUAUUGGACAAUGGGGGGAACCCUGAUCCAGCCAUGCCGCGUGUGUGAAGAAGGCCCUCGGGUUGUAAAGCACUUUCAGUGAGGAAGAACGCCUGGUGGUUAAUACCCAUCAGGAAAGACAUCACUCACAGAAGAAGCACCGGCUAACUCCGUGCCAGCAGCCGCGGUAAUACGGAGGGUGCGAGCGUUAAUCGGAAUUACUGGGCGUAAAGCGCGCGUAGGUGGCUUGAUAAGCCGGUUGUGAAAGCCCCGGGCUCAACCUGGGAACGGCAUCCGGAACUGUCAAGCUAGAGUGCAGGAGAGGAAGGUAGAAUUCCCGGUGUAGCGGUGAAAUGCGUAGAGAUCGGGAGGAAUACCAGUGGCGAAGGCGGCCUUCUGGACUGACACUGACACUGAGGUGCGAAAGCGUGGGUAGCAAACAGGAUUAGAUACCCCAGUAGUC